This is a long non-coding RNA of Bombus terrestris (buff-tailed bumblebee), 1010 nucleotides long. RefSeq lists it as uncharacterized. The record is from RefSeq and is a predicted model, not a curated record. NCBI's taxonomy places the organism in Eukaryota, Metazoa, Arthropoda, Insecta, Hymenoptera, Apidae. The transcript has 3 exons.
GUCUUGAACAGAUGUUUCACCGGCGUCAUACUGUAACAAGCCGCGAGUGGUGUUCUCGGAUAAUGCACCACAAAGGCCAGACACAUUUCCUGAGAUGCUGCGUAUCCUCCCAAUGUGGGUUUCGUCCUGUCCAACGUACCGUAAACACACUCAGCCAGCAAUUCGUCUCCCGGAAGCACUUUCACCUCCUUCUCGAGAACUCAAACGACGACCGGCCAAGUGAGAAUGCAAGACCACCGAAACGAUGUUCACUCCGCCUUCGGGGAACAUCUGUAACGAAACUUAACAUCGUUUUUCAACGCGCGUUCGAAGAUUCGAGGGGCGAGAGGUAGGACGCGUCGGCCGAUUCGAGCCAUUCGAGCCAGCCAGCACCGCUCCGCGCGGUCUUUCCUCGCAACGAUGCUGAAAGAUUCGCGUAGCCUCCCCCCGCCGAUGUCUGGAGGCCUUGACUGGGGGACCCUUUGGAACCAACUGCCAGGACACAACAUACCUAUGCCCCUUGAGAAGGGGCCUUUUCUUACACACCUUCGUGCUUCCUCGUGUGUUCGUCACGUAUUCGGUCACGCAACCUUUCGCACACUUUCACCUACCGCUUCUACCCAGCGUAUACGUGUUUCUCUUUCUGCAUCCGUGUACUCCGUAUCGGCCGUGUACCAUCGCCUGUGGCACGAUUUGCCCGCGGGCUGUUGGCGUAUUCGAAUUUACGCGGGCUUGAUUUUCUAUCUGCCGCGUGAAACACGGUUCUCGUCCGAACAAACAGCGAUUAUUCGUUAAAAUAUUCGAUGGCGGAACAAGUUGCCGAUAAACUCCGAUUAAAUCGCCUCUGAUACGAUUCGCGUCCGUUGAUAUCGUCGAACGUUUCAUCUCUCUAUAUAUAUAUUUUUAACAGCUCUCUAGAUAUCACCUAUAUACGAUAAAUCGAAAAGUACAGGAAAACCAUAACGUUAUGAAGGCUGUUUUUGAAAUUUAUCUGACAAUUUACUUGAUUCAAUAAACGAUUAAUAAAAACG